Molecule: ribosomal RNA, 447 nt
Filed under: uncultured bacterium
Lineage: Bacteria
Description: bacterial SSU rRNA
Rfam family: Bacterial small subunit ribosomal RNA
Source: RNAcentral
CCCAGACUCCUACGGGAGGCAGCAGUGGGGGAUAUUGCACAAUGGGGGAAACCCUGAUGCAGCGACGCUGCGUGUGGGAAGACGGUCCUCUGGAUUGUAAACCACUGUCCCCAGGGACGAAGAUGACGGUACCUGAGUAAGAAGCACCGGCUAAAUACGUGCCAGCAGCCGCGGUAAUACGUAUGGUGCAAGCGCUAUCCGGAUUUACUGGGUGUAAAGGGAGCGCAGGCGGCACGGCAAGCCUGAUGUGAAAGCCCGCGGCCCAACCGCGGGACUGCAUUGGGAACUACCGGGCUGGAGUGCAGGAGAGGUAAGUGGAAUUCCUAGUGUAGCGGUGAAAUGCGUAGAUAUUAGGAGGAACACCAGUGGCGAAGGCGGCUUACUGGACUGUAACUGACGUUGAGGCUCGAAAGCGUGGGGAGCAAACAGGAUUAGAUACCCCUGUAA